RNAcentral lists this transfer RNA (89 nucleotides) under Tepidimonas aquatica. RNAcentral's name for it is "tRNA-Cys". The record is from RNAcentral. Lineage: Bacteria; Pseudomonadati; Pseudomonadota; Betaproteobacteria; Burkholderiales.
GCGCAACUGGUGCGAGCGGCCCGUGAUCGGUUGCAGCUCGACCCGGGUGGCCGACAGCGGCCCCCACCGUUCCAGACCGAGGAUGCGCC